AGUUUGAUCCUGGCUCAGAUUGAACGCUGGCGGCAUGCCUUACACAUGCAAGUCGAACGGCAGCACGGGAGCAAUCCUGGUGGCGAGUGGCGAACGGGUGAGUAAUAUAUCGGAACGUGCCCGGUCGUGGGGGAUAACGUAGCGAAAGCUACGCUAAUACCGCAUACGAUCUACGGAUGAAAGCGGGGGAUCGCAAGACCUCGCGCGAUUGGAGCGGCCGAUAUCAGAUUAGGUAGUUGGUGAGGUAAAGGCUCACCAAGCCGACGAUCUGUAGCUGGUCUGAGAGGACGACCAGCCACACUGGGACUGAGACACGGCCCAGACUCCUACGGGAGGCAGCAGUGGGGGAAUUUUGGACAAUGGGCGCAAGCCUGAUCCAGCAAUGCCGCGUGAGUGAUGAAGGCCUUCGGGUUGUAAAGCUCUUUUACUCGGGACGAUAAUGACGGUACCGAGAGAAUAAGCCCCGGCUAACUCCGUG
This 478-nucleotide ribosomal RNA is filed under the name uncultured bacterium. RNAcentral's name for it is "bacterial SSU rRNA". It matches the Rfam family "Bacterial small subunit ribosomal RNA", at positions 10 to 507 of the family's 1533-position model. The record is from RNAcentral.